RNAcentral lists this ribosomal RNA (656 nucleotides) under Dinophysis similis. Its description in RNAcentral is "LSU rRNA". It matches the Rfam family "Eukaryotic large subunit ribosomal RNA", at positions 68 to 615 of the family's 3401-position model. Lineage: Eukaryota; Dinophyceae; Dinophysales; Dinophysaceae. The record is from RNAcentral.
AACAGGAUCCCCAUAGUAAUGGCGAAUGAACAGGGAUGCGCUCACCAUGGAAAUUGGGGCCUGUGGCUUUGACUUGUAAUCUUUUGAGGCAUUGCCAACAGAGGCGCAGAUGUAAGUCUCUUGGAACAGAGCAUCAAUGAAGGUGAGAGCCCUGCUUGUCAUUUGCAGCCCCCCUGUGCACGGUGCGCCUGCUAAGAGUCACGUUCCUUGGGAUUGGAGCGCAAAGUGGGUGGUAACUUUCAUCUGAAGCUAAACAAUGGUUUGGGACCGAUAGGAAACAAGUACCAUGAGGGAAAGGUGAAAAGGACUUUGGAAAGAGAGUUAAAAGUGCCUGAAAUUGCUGAAAGGGAAGCGAAUGGAACCAGUGGUGCUGGGUGAGAUUGUCACAUGCCACAGGGAUUGGUUGCUGGUGUGGCGCAAGCGAGUUUGGCGACUUUUGCAUUGUGGUUGUGUGGUGUGUCUUGCUCCGCGGGUCAUGGUGGGUUUAUGCAUUAAGACAAUUCAAAGCGCAUGGUAAUAUGUUUCUGAAUAUACGGAUGUGUUUUGUUAUGUUUGUGCAUAAGCUUCUUGCAUUUCUGUCUGGCUGCACAGCUUACUAUCAUCUACCAUGUUGUGUGGGUGUGUUGAUCAGCGCAUUCUGCACAGAACUGACUAAA